RNAcentral lists this ribosomal RNA (268 nucleotides) under uncultured bacterium. Its description in RNAcentral is "partial 16S ribosomal RNA". It matches the Rfam family "Bacterial small subunit ribosomal RNA", at positions 793 to 1055 of the family's 1533-position model. The record is from RNAcentral.
GUCCACGCCCUAAACGAUGUCUACUAGUUGUUGGUGGAGUAAAAUCCAUGAGUAACGCAGCUAACGCGUGAAGUAGACCGCCUGGGGAGUACGGUCGCAAGAUUAAAACUCAAAGGAAUUGACGGGGGCCCGCACAAGCGGUGGAUUAUGUGGAUUAAUUCGAUGCAACGCGAAAAACCUUACCUGGCCUUGACAUGCCACUAACGAAGCAGAGAUGCAUUGGGUGCUCGAAAAGAGAAAGUGGACACAGGUGCUGCAUGGCUGUCGU